RNAcentral lists this ribosomal RNA (344 nucleotides) under uncultured eukaryote. RNAcentral's name for it is "SSU rRNA". It matches the Rfam family "Eukaryotic small subunit ribosomal RNA", at positions 567 to 941 of the family's 1831-position model. The record is from RNAcentral.
CCAGCAGCCGCGGUAAUUCCAGCUCCAAUAGUGUAUCUUAAUGUUGUUGCUGUUAAAAAGCUCGUAGUUGAACUUCUGUCGGCAGCGACGACUCUUAGUCUUAGCUGGCGGCAUCCGCCCUGGAAUCCCAUACGCCGUUAAACGCUGUGGGGAGAAGGGGUAUUUUACUUUGAAGAAAUUAGAGUGUUCCAGGCAGGCGAUGCUUGCAUAGUACAGCAUGGAAUAAUGGAAUAGGACUAGCCAUUUCAUUGGUUUGAUGGUCUAGUAAUGAUUAACAGGGACAGUUGGGGGCAUUCGUACUGGGCAGUCAGUGGUAAAAUACGAUGACCUGCUCAAGACGCACU